Non-coding RNA from Coffea arabica (coffee), 867 nucleotides. Lineage: Eukaryota; Viridiplantae; Streptophyta; Magnoliopsida; Gentianales; Rubiaceae. The record is from RefSeq and is a predicted model, not a curated record.
GAUUCCGGCGGAUGACGACAAAGCAACCCUAGAAAUUGAAGACAAAAUUCCCCCCAAUGGCAAGCUGAAAAGGACCGAUUGGACCGAAUACAUUGAUCCAGAGAGGACGAUUCAGAAAUACCAAACAUCGGCGAAAAUCCUGGGGACGAAUUUGAGCUCAAAAUAGUGACUGAAAUGCCUAAACCAGUUUUUAAAAAGCCUAAAUUGAAGAGUUAUCAUGUCGCAAAAGAUUGUGAAUAUGGCGAUGAGAAGAAUAUUCUAGUGGAUGUUGGUGAGAGCCUUGUCAGAACAAAAGGCUGUUCUCAAGCUGGCGCGUCAAGUAGAUAUAGGGGAGCAAGGGUUAGAGGACACAACAAGAGAGGACUAAUUAUGCAGCAGAAAUUAAAGGAAAGUCUGCUGAUAGGCAGGAAGAAGUGAAGCUCGAGGAGCCAAUGCAUGGAAUGUUCGAAUGGAGAGGCUGUUUAGUUCAGGGUGGUAAUGUCAAACUUUCUGAUGAGGUGCCAGGGAGAAAUCGGUCAGCAACAAUAAAGGGAUGGAGAUCUUCAAAAUGGAGUUGUUACAUAACAGAAGAAGAUGAUAAUCUAUUGCCUGCAAGUGGGAAAGCUAACAAAAAUCAAUCCAAUCAAGGGUGUGAUCGAAUGCAUUUGAGACUGAAUUUGUUGAUCAAAGGGUAGAUGAAGACAUUCAUCCUGAUUUUCUGUGAAAGUUUUUACAUAUAUGGCACCAGAUUGACCAUUGUAACGUAACGUUCACAAAAUAUUACUAACUUGAUACUUGCUGCAUAAAUAUUUGUAAGUGAAAUGCAUGGUUUUGUAUCAUAGUGAAAUUGCGAUCCUUUUAUGUGCCUAGGACCGAAAGCACUGUGGA